RNAcentral lists this ribosomal RNA (256 nucleotides) under uncultured bacterium. Its description in RNAcentral is "partial 16S ribosomal RNA". It matches the Rfam family "Bacterial small subunit ribosomal RNA", at positions 524 to 777 of the family's 1533-position model. The record is from RNAcentral.
UACAGAGGUCUCAAGCGUUGUUCGGAUUCAUUGGGCGUAAAGGGUGCGUAGGCGGCGCGGUAAGUCGGGUGUGAAAUCUUGGAGCUUAACUCCGAAACUGCAUUCGAUACUGCCGUGCUUGAGGACUGGAGAGGAGACUGGAAUUUACGGUGUAGCGGUGAAAUGCGUAGAUAUCGUAAGGAAGACCAGUGGCGAAGGCGGGUCUCUGGACAGUUCCUGACGCUGAGGCACGAAGGCCAGGGGGAGCAAAACGGGA